CCAGGCUCUGGCUCACUCCCUCUGCCGACAUCUGAGGAACCCCCCGAAGCCGGGUCUGCAACACCCCUCCUGAGUCCUCCCCCACUGCCCUGCCACAGCUUCUUGGUGGGACUCUAGGGGGCGAGGGGGUGCAACUGGACACCCAUUUCACAGAUGCCCCCCCAGCCAACUGGUACAUCUAAUGCAGCACAAAGCUCAGACCGCCAAGACUGGGAACGGGGACCCCAGCUCUGCCACCUCCCCUCCAUGCCUCACUGAAGCCUUGUGCAGAUUGAACAAGCUGAAAUAGAAAUACGCUUGGAGCAGGGUGUGGCAUACAGGAAGCGCCAUGCAGCAUAAACACCCUUGAGAUCAUCCAAGUAGUGGCGAGUAUCGGCAGCUCAUUCGUCUUAUCGCUCAGUGGUAUUCCGCGGUGUGGAGGGGCCACGGUUUGCUGAACCGGUCGACUAUCGAGAGGCAUCUGCGCUGUUUCCAAUUUGGAGCUGUUAUGAAUAAAGCUGCUACAGGUUUCCAUGUG
This 517-nucleotide long non-coding RNA is filed under the name Pan troglodytes (chimpanzee). RNAcentral's name for it is "lincRNA". Lineage: Eukaryota; Metazoa; Chordata; Mammalia; Primates; Hominidae. The record is from RNAcentral.